GCAAGGGUCGACACGGGAGGCGACCCAGCCGCCGCCGCCGUGUCACCCCCACCGCCCUCCUUCUACCUCGCCACCGCCCGAGCGGGCCGCCAGAAACCGCGCGGCCGCAAGGACGGCGGCGGCGGGGCUUCCUCCCCCCGAGGUCGCGGCGUUCGGAGCCCACGACCCCGACCUAGCUUCGGGGCGGCGACUUCGGCGGCUGCGACGUCGAGCUCGACGGUGGCACAUGGCUUCGGCGAGGUGGCGGUGCCGACGACGGUUGAAGAGAUGGGCGACCGGGCCGACGACGAGAAGGCGGUGCUGGCUCCUACGCUCUCCUGCGCGGAUCUGGUGCGGGGGGAUGGAUCCCGAGCCGCUGGGGGCGGUGAUGCGCGUGGAGGCGGCGGGAUGGCCGGAUCCGGAACCCUCCUGUCUGGGUCCGGCGCGGGAGGCCGAGCUCCGACCCCAGGCAGCGAGGCGGCGGUGGCUGAAGGCGGCGGGGAUGGCGAUGGCGGCGGGGACGGAGCUGGCCGAGGGCGCGGAGGCAGCGGCGGUGGUCCCGUGGCUGCGACGGCGCGGUGCCUGGUGGCUGCGGCGGUGGUGCCCCCAGAUCCGCGCCUCUCGGCCGGGUCUGGAGGGUGGCGGCAGUUGGCGACGGCGGCGGCGGUGUGGCGAUGGUGGUGGCGGCAGUUGGCCAGCGGCAAGUGGCGAUGGCGGUCUCAGCCGGAUCUAGACGCAGGCAGCAGUUGGCGACGACAGCCGCGGACGACGGCGCAGCAGCAGUUUGCGGAGGCGAUGGUUGGCGUCGGUGGCAGCGACGACGGCGGCUACGACUCUGGAGGCGGUGGCGACGUCGGUGGCAGGGAAGGAGUCGGGUGCGAGGUGGCUGGGUGUUCGGCAGCAGCGGCUGCGGUGGUGGUGACCGUGUUUGCGGUCACCGGAGUCAUGGUGGCCUCGGUUGACUAGCCGAGGGCGU
RNAcentral lists this long non-coding RNA (955 nucleotides) under Oryza sativa Indica Group (long-grained rice). Its description in RNAcentral is "lncRNA OsMH63_08G019320". The record is from RNAcentral. Lineage: Eukaryota; Viridiplantae; Streptophyta; Magnoliopsida; Poales; Poaceae.